RNAcentral lists this long non-coding RNA (3409 nucleotides) under Olea europaea (common olive). RNAcentral's name for it is "long non-coding RNA (OEUR_LNC015178)". The record is from RNAcentral. Lineage: Eukaryota; Viridiplantae; Streptophyta; Magnoliopsida; Lamiales; Oleaceae.
UCUCCAGCUUGGAUCUACUGCUCUCCUCCAGCUCAAGCAAGACUCCACCCCACCCGCACGCCCACGCAACAAUCUCAAAAACCUAAUUUAACCCAUUUCUGUGCAAUUUGAAGAGAUCCCAGAAAUCCCAGUAACCCAAUGGAUCUGCCUCCCGAUGAACUGCAAUUCUUGAGCAUCCAAGACAUCAUUAAAGAAUCAAUUUUCAUUCCUAAACGAUCCCCCAAAACAUUUUACCUCAUAACCUUAACCCUAAUCUUCCCUCUAUCGUUCGCCAUCUUGGCCCACUCGCUCUUCACCCACCCUAUCCUCACUCAGCUUCAGUCCGAGCCAGCUGGGUCCCGUGCCGCCUCCUCCGAAUGGUCCAAGCUCCUUAUUUUCCAGUUCUGCUACCUCAUCUUCCUUUUUGCCUUCUCGCUCCUGUCCACCGCCGCCGUCAAUGAUUAACAUGUUAUUUCGAAUUUAGGCUCAUCAACUUCACUACAAAUGUACUAAAUGUCAAGAAUUAAUUGGAUGAGCAGCACAAUAGGACAUUAGAUCUCGACCCAUAAAGUUAUUGGGUAGAAUGAUUUUUUUUUGCUACAAAAAUAGGCUGUAAUCAUGAGAAGUGGCAAUAAAUAGCAUUUGUCCAGUAAGGUAAAUUAGCACAAGUUAUAUGGAUGUUUUGCCUUGCUCUUUUGUUACAUUCAAACACUGAAAUUACUAUUGGUUGCAAGUUUAUACAUACAUAAGAAAUUAAUGUUCGUCUGUAGAAUUAUAAAGGCACUCUUCAAAUUUCUCAUUAGUCAUCUAUGAUGGCACAACUCUCAUAGCCCUUCAUUCAAUGAGUUUUGUUAUCUAACUCUCAUAGCCCUUUAUUCAUGAAUUUUGUUAUUUGUACCCGAGUGUUACCUGAUGUGAGUGAAGGAGUCAAGGCCGACACAUUUAUUGGCGUGGGGCCCCCCGACCCCAUGUGAGUAGCAGGUAACCCGGAGUAUCAAAUUCUGGAUAUGUGUAGCAAAACUCUUAUUCAAUACUCAUCCUUGUAUAUGACCAAUCGAAGAGGUCCUUUCUUAGUUGAGUUAAAUCUGCACCGCAGCUUAAUAUGUCAUUUUUUGGAGCUUUACUUUACUAAACUAAUAUGGGGUCACUGCCCCCUAUAUAAUUCAAGCUUUUUACUUUUGCAUCUUGCCUUUAGAUUUUAUCGACUUGUAUGCUGAAUCGCUGAUGAGAUCUUUCCCUCGAAUUCUAUGAUUUGAGUAACAAGAUUUUGCUAAAUCAUCCUUUCCCUCCUAUAAUUCCACAACUUCCAUUUGCACCAUCACUCCCUCAAAUUCAUAACAUUCCAAACUUGGAAAUUCCAAACAUCUCCAGUCUACCUUCGAUGCCUACACUACCUAAUUUAACUGUGCUAUUGAAAUAAUGAUUAUAGCAUGAAAUUGUUAAUUAGUUCUUCAACGGUGUACUCUUGGUUAAAUUAAAACUAGGAUGACAGUUACUAUAUUUAUGAAUUUAUUUAUAAUACCUCAUCGAAAAUUGAUUGACAAAAUAAUCUUGAAAUCUUUUUGCCGUUUGAAAUUUAGAUAGAUCGAAUAAUAUUAUUAUUAUCGACAAUGUUGCUUUAACAUUGGUCAAUUUAAUUUAUUACUCUCUUCGUCCAAUUUAUAUAUGCUACAUUUCCUUAUUUUCUCGUUCCAAUUAUAUAGUCUUGUUUCUUUAUUAAGAAUGUUUUGUUUUGUUCGUUUACUAAUAUACUCUUACUUAAUUUGCAUAAUUAUAUUUGGUUUCUCCUAAUUAUUCUUGAAAUUGUAUAAAUAUAAAUAAGGUAAACUAGGAUAUUUUUUGACAAAAAAUAUUUUUUUAAUGACAUUACAUACGAUUUCUUAAUCUCUGUGAAAAACAAAACAAGCUUAUAUAAAUGGGACGGAAGGAGUAUUAAAUUUUAUGAGUUUAGCAUAUACAUCAAGUUUUCUUCACGAAAACGAUACGCGAUAUUAGUUCAGAGUGGGAAAAUACAAACUUUUCUUCUCAUUUAUGAUGAAUCUUACUUUUUCAAGAAAGUGCACAAAAUGAGCAUCUCAAGUCUUAAUUGAAUUUAAAUUUGCCUUAAACGAAAUCUUUAAUUAUCACUGAAAUCUUAUUGGGGACUUAGUUUCAAUUAUUUUAAUUAAUUGUAGAAAUCAGGCAUAUUUCAUCACUUAUAAUUGCUAGAAUUUUCUUCGAUAUACCUACACGACUCAUAAAAUCGUCUUACCUGAAGUAUAAUGAGUAUAACACGCGUUUUAUGUAUCAGUGCAAGUACAAAAUUGACCCUGCAAGACACUUCUGCGGAUAUGGCGGUGGACAGUACACAGAUUCAUCAAAUAGUUAAUUUCACAAAUGGUCCUUGAAGUUUAAGUGAAUUUUCAAAUUCAUCAAUAAAUUUUUUUAUUUUUUUUUGAACAAUUUAAUCACCCAGUUAAAUAAUAUUACAUAAUUCAUCACUCUUUAUGAAAAUCUAGAGACUGUUUGAACCUUUACGUAGAGAAAUGAUCAUUGUCUUCAAAUUACAAAUUUUCAACCUAAAGUACAAUUCUUACGAAAAAAAGCCUUACAUUCAGUCAAAACUUCCAAAAUAACUCCCUUCGGCUCUAACUUUCUUUUUUAAAUCACUAAUAAAAUGUAAAAGGUAGAGACGGGUCUACAAGAGAAGUGCAAUUUGAAUGAAGGAUAUCUUUAAUUGUAGAUAAUUAAAGUAAAUAUUUAAUCACUGCUAUAUAAAAUAUAACAUUAAUUGUAUUCGGAAUCAAUAUUUAUGAAUUAUUGUUUAACUUUAGGGAUUAAGUCUCUAUUUGAGCUCCAUUGAUUCAAAACUCAUUUUUUUUAAACUUAUUUUCAACUACAUAUUCUUAUAAUAAAGUAAUUUAUAUGUAAAUUCAAAACUUUUCUCGUUUUCUAAUCACAAAAUUUUCAAAAAAAUCACUAUUAUAAAAUAUAUUUUUUCAAUAUAAUGAGACUCAAUCAAAGGAUAAAUGAGCCAUGAAGUAACUUUAAUUAUCAAUUUAACAUUUGUUGAACUUAUCAUUUCGGAAUGGAUCGUACCUUUUUGUAUCAAUUCGUAAUUUUUCGUGCCAUUUCGUACAAUUUGUAACAUGUGUGGUGAAAUUUACUCGCCAAAAAUAGUACCCAUCACCUCCACCACCUUCUCUUGCCCUUGACUCUUUCUCCAGCUUGGAUCUAUUGCUCUCCUCCAGCUCAAGCAAGACUCCACCCCACCCGCACGCCCACGCAACAAUCUCAAAAACCUAAUUUAACCCAUUUCUGUGCAAUUUGAAGAGAUCCCAGAAAUCCCAGUAACCCAAUGGAUCUGCCUCCCGAUGAACUGCAAUUCUUGAGCAUCCAAGACAUCAUUAAAGAAUCAAUUUUCAUUCCUAAACGAUCCCCCAAAACCUUU